CUGGGUUGUUUAUUCUUUUACAGUACAUUGAUUUUUCAGUUUUGGCUUUUGAGGGAGCUUGCUCAAUAGGAAUCCAAAAGUGCUUUUGCUUAUACCACUUCUGAGAAUUAAAAACAGACAUGAUGUAAGUAUCAAUGUUGACCAUUUCAGAAAAAAAAGAAACAUCCAAAUAGUGAAAAGUUAAAAUUAAAUUUGAUCUUUUUAUUUUUUAUUUUUUUGAGAUGGAGUCUCACUGUGUCGCCUAGGCUGGAGUGCAGUGGCGUGAUCUUGAUUCACUGCAAUGUCCACCUCCCGGGUCCAAGCAAUUCUUCUGCCUCAGCCUCCCAAGUUGCUGUGAUUACAGUACUCUUCUUUCUGGGAGGAAACUAGAAUGCUUUAGAAAUCAUUGCAGGAAUCACAGAGUAAAAUGGAGAAGAACCCAGGGAUGUGUCAUAACACAGUAGUCUGAAAAAGGGCCAGGUAGAAGAGUGGGAAGGACUAUGCCUCUGGCAAGUGCAAGUUCAUAAAUCCCAGCUUCUUCAAGUUACGAGGCACAUCUGCAUCCCCAGAUGAUGGCUACUGGUCAGAACACUGAACUCAUACCAAAAACUGCUGUUGUUGACAGUUUAAUGUCUAUGGAUCUGACUCAGACAGAAAUGUGCCACUUACUGAAUCACCAACACCAUAUCUUUGGUUUUGAGGUGGGGCACGCUUACUUUUUCGUCUGAAGAUUGACACAGCCCACCAAGAACAAUUUGAAAGAGACAGAAAAGGCAUGACACCAAGCCACACAAAUUCGAUGGUAAGACUAGAGAUUAACUUGUGAACUUGGCAGGAAUAGGUCGUAUGACGAGAGCUGAAACGUACAACUGGAUCUUGGCCGUGCCAUUCCUGGAGACUAAGAAAUCCUGAAUUUUUAAUUUAUGCUUAAUAGCCAUGGCUUUGUCUUUACAGAGUAUUUGUGAUACAUUUCUAAGCAUUGCUAAAUUAAUUCUUACUGCACCAACUUGGUGGAAAUCUGUUCCGUCAGAAAGAGUUAAUACAUCCAAAGAGAUAGAAACACAUUUAAGCCUAACUUUCACAAGUUCCUGCUUAGCUAAGAAUGAAACUAGAAAAUUUUAUUUUGAGUAUUUUACAUUUCUGAUGGUACAGAAUCAACAGUUUAGGAAGCUUAACACCUAUUUGCCAAGAGAAAAAGUCAGAAUUCUCUCUUCAGGUCUACUUUCUUUGAACUUGUCUCAUCUUUUUAUGUACCCCAGUAGUUUCAGAGAUACACCUGAAGAUAGAGCAGUUUCUGUUUUCAUCACUUUUAACAACAAUGGAUCUUUUUAUCAUUGUCAAUGAAUGAAUAUUCAGCCAGUGCUCCUGAGGAGAUGAAAAACUCCACCAGCAAUUAUCUUACAGAGUCACCGUGAUUACUAGAUUGUAUGGUUUGGCUGUGCCCCCACCCAGAUCUCAUCUUGAAUUCCCAUGUGUUGUGGGAGGGACCCAGUGGGAGGUAACUGAAUCAUGGAGACAAGUCUUUCUCGUGCUGUUGUUAUGAUAGUGAAUAAGUCUCAUGAGAUCUCAUGGUUUUAUAAAGAAGAGUCCCCCUGCACAAGCUCUCUCUCUGCCUGCUGCCAUCUAUUUAAGAUGUGACUUGCUCUUCCUUGCCUUCUGCCAUGAUUGUGAGGCUUCCCCAACCAUGUGGAACUGUAAGUCCAAUUAAACCUCUUCUUUUGU
Molecule: non-coding RNA, 1701 nt
Filed under: Pongo abelii (Sumatran orangutan)
Lineage: Eukaryota; Metazoa; Chordata; Mammalia; Primates; Hominidae
Source: RNAcentral